This 349-nucleotide ribosomal RNA is filed under the name Kamptonema animale I2. RNAcentral's name for it is "bacterial SSU rRNA". It matches the Rfam family "Bacterial small subunit ribosomal RNA", at positions 413 to 776 of the family's 1533-position model. The record is from RNAcentral. Lineage: Bacteria; Bacillati; Cyanobacteriota; Cyanophyceae; Oscillatoriales; Microcoleaceae. RNAcentral also lists the same sequence under 1 other name.
GGCCUUUGGGUUGUAAACCCCUUUUGUUAGGGAAGAAAAAAAUGACGGUACCUAACGAAUCAGCCUCGGCUAACUCCGUGCCAGCAGCCGCGGUAAUACGGAGGAGGCAAGCGUUAUCCGGAAUUAUUGGGCGUAAAGCGUCCGUAGGUGGCCCGGCAAGUCUGCUGUCAAAGACCACAGCUCAACUGUGGAAAGGCAGUGGAAACUGCAAGGCUAGAGUGCGGUAGGGGUAGAGGGAAUUCCCAGUGUAGCGGUGAAAUGCGUAGAGAUUGGGAAGAACACCGGUGGCGAAAGCGCUCUACUGGGCCGCAACUGACACUGAUGGACGAAAGCUAGGGGAGCGAAUGGG